UGAUAUUACAAUGCAAUAAAUACUCCCAAAGCAAACAAACAAUACACAUCAUCAGCCUAUUAUGCUCUUUGUACAUCCAGGUUACAGCUGCAGGACCUUGCAUGAAUCAUGAUCCUGCCAAAUUGUUGACAAUGACACUGAAAACAUAGAUUUUUUCAGCACACAAUAUUUUAAUUCAACAAACAGGUGUUAAAUACCCUCACAGUACUACCACCAUAACCACCUCCCUCUGUAUAUAGCUUGUCGAUGACAAGCUAUAUGA
Molecule: unclassified non-coding RNA, 262 nt
Filed under: Hevea brasiliensis (rubber tree)
Lineage: Eukaryota; Viridiplantae; Streptophyta; Magnoliopsida; Malpighiales; Euphorbiaceae
Source: RNAcentral